GGCGAACGGGUGGAGAUAACACGUGGGCAACCUGCCUCCGGUAACACCGGGAUAACCCAGGUAAACUGAGCUAAUACCUGGAUACUAAGGCGUGAUCGCAUGGUCGCGCCGGGAAAGCUCCGACGGUCCGGGAUGGGCCCGCGGCCUAUCAGCUUGUUGGUGGGGUAACGGCCCACCAAGGCGACGACGGGUAGCUGGUCUGAGGAGGACGGCCAGCCACACUGGGACUGAGACACGGCCCAGACUCAAUACGGGAGGCAGCAGUGGGGGAUCUUGCGCUAAUACGCGAAAGCGUGACGCAGCGACGCCGCGUGGGGGAUGAAGGCCCUCGGGUUGUAAACCCCUUUCGGCAGGGACGAAGGGAAACUGACGGUACCUGCAGAAGAAGUCCCGGCUAACUACGUGCAGCAGCCGCGG
This 417-nucleotide ribosomal RNA is filed under the name uncultured bacterium. RNAcentral describes it as "bacterial SSU rRNA". It matches the Rfam family "Bacterial small subunit ribosomal RNA", at positions 97 to 520 of the family's 1533-position model. The record is from RNAcentral.